RNAcentral lists this ribosomal RNA (168 nucleotides) under uncultured bacterium. Its description in RNAcentral is "partial 16S ribosomal RNA". It matches the Rfam family "Bacterial small subunit ribosomal RNA", at positions 1334 to 1500 of the family's 1533-position model. The record is from RNAcentral.
GCUAGUAAUGGCAGGUCAGCAUACUGCCGUGAAUACGUUCCCGGGCCCUUGUACACACCGCCCGUCACACCAUGAGAGUUGGGGAUACCCGAAGCCUGUGAGCCAACUAUAUAGAGGCAGCAGUCGAAGGUAGAAUCAAUGAUUGGGGUGAAGUCGUAACAAGGUAAC